AUUGAUAUUUUAGAAGAUUAUGGGGGUGAUUUUACUGCAGAUUCUGAUGUUCCUUGCUAUAAUUUCAUCAAGCAGGCUCUUCCUGCACUUGUUCCUAUGCUACUGGAGACACUUCUCAAGCAAGAAGAAGAUCAGGAUCAGGAUGAAGUUGCUUGGAAUCUUGCUAUGGCCGGUGGCACUUGCCUUGGUUUGGUUGCAAGGACUGUAGGAGAUGACAUUGUACCUCUUGUUAUGCCAUUCAUUGAAGAGAACAUUACAAAGCCUGAUUGGAGGCAAAGAGAGGCCGCCACAUAUGCCUUUGGAUCCAUUUUGGAAGGUCCUUCACCUGAUAAGCUAAUGCCCAUUGUUAAUAGUGCUCUAAACUUCAUGCUUACUGCAUUGACAAAGGAUGCAAAUAGCCAUGUGAAG
RNAcentral lists this unclassified non-coding RNA (408 nucleotides) under Hevea brasiliensis (rubber tree). Lineage: Eukaryota; Viridiplantae; Streptophyta; Magnoliopsida; Malpighiales; Euphorbiaceae. The record is from RNAcentral.